RNAcentral lists this small nuclear RNA (119 nucleotides) under Trichobilharzia regenti. Its description in RNAcentral is "U5 spliceosomal RNA". It matches the Rfam family "U5 spliceosomal RNA". From Rfam's summary of the family: U5 RNA is a component of both types of known spliceosome. Lineage: Eukaryota; Metazoa; Platyhelminthes; Trematoda; Strigeidida; Schistosomatidae. The record is from Rfam by way of RNAcentral.
UAACUCUGGUGUCUCCUCAUUUGCGGAUAAAUCUUUCGCAUUUUACUAAAGAUUUCCGUGGGGAGGCACAAUACAAUGAGUCUUGCCUCAUUUUUUUCAGUUCUGUCUUCGGACGGAGU